AUUUACUUCCUAGGAGCUGAGUGUGUUCUAAUCUGUUUUUAAGGGCUCUUGCUUUUUAGCAGGAGCGAGAAGAGUGUGGAUGCGUGCAUGCAAUUUGGGCCUCUUCAGCCAGGAUUCCAAAUAGCUAUUGACAACAGAGAAGCUGUCCCAGCCCCCAAGGUCAGGGCCAUUGCCCUUCCUGUUAUUUGCUUCUUGACGACUGGUCCACCCUGUAUGGACACCGUGUUACUGAGGGCUGUAGACAAUUGGCAGGCAAAGAACUCUAACAUUCUUGUGAAUACUGCACUCUUCUUUCUGAUCAGACGGACGGGCAGCAUUUUUUGCCUGGCAGCUACUUCAGAAGACAGCAUUCACCGGCAGCCUACAAUGUCCCCAGCACCCAGUGGCAGGGGCACUCGGUUUCUCAUCUACGUCUUUGAAAAAUCCAUGCAGAUCAUUUUCUCCGGGAGUAGGAUACCCUGGGCUUCAGAGGGUCGAAGAGGCAAGCUUAUAGGUGUAAGAGCUGAUCCCCUGGGAAAAGGUGUGAAUGCCACCUCAUGGUGA
RNAcentral lists this long non-coding RNA (543 nucleotides) under Monodelphis domestica (gray short-tailed opossum). RNAcentral's name for it is "lncRNA (ENSMODG00000047273.1)". Lineage: Eukaryota; Metazoa; Chordata; Mammalia; Didelphimorphia; Didelphidae. The record is from RNAcentral.